Molecule: ribosomal RNA, 468 nt
Filed under: uncultured bacterium
Lineage: Bacteria
Description: partial 16S ribosomal RNA
Rfam family: Bacterial small subunit ribosomal RNA
Source: RNAcentral
GACGAACGCUGGCGGCGUGCUUAACACAUGCAAGUCGAACGGAAAGGCCCUGCUUUUGUGGGGUGCUCGAGUGGCGAACGGGUGAGUAACACGUGAGUAACCUGCCCUUGACUUUGGGAUAACUUCAGGAAACUGGGGCUAAUACCGGAUAGGAGCUCCUGCUGCAUGGUGGGGGUUGGAAAGUUUCGGCGGUUGGGGAUGGACUCGCGGCUUAUCAGCUUGUUGGUGGGGUAGGGGCUUACCAAGGCUUUGACGGGUAGCCGGCCUGAGAGGGUGGCCGGCCACAUUGGGACUGCGGUACGGCCCAGACUCCUACGGGAGGCAGCGGUGGGGAAUAUUGCCCAAUGGGCGGAAGCCUGAUGCAGCAGCGCCGCGUGCGGGAUGACGGCCUUCGGGUUGUAAACCGCUUUCGCCUGUGACGAAGCGUGAGUGACGGUAAUGGGUAAAGAAGCACCGGCUAACUACGUG